GAAGUCGUUACUCCAACCCUUGUGGAGGAGGACGUCGAAGGUGGGGCUGAUGACUGGGGUGAAGUCGUAACAAGGUAGCCGUACCGGAAGGUGCGGCUGGAUCACCUCCUAACAGGGAGACAACAAAAUGUAAAUAUUAAUUUUGUCACCUUAGGCCGAUCGGUAUCUCAGAUUCUUAUUAUUUAAGAAUUUCAGUUUCUAAGUUUUUUCUAGGUCACACCCAUCACUUUUUCCUGGGCCAUUAGCUCAGGUGGUUAGAGCGCACCCCUGAUAAGGGUGAGGUCCCUGGUUCAAGUCCAGGAUGGCCCAUAUCUCUAUGUUGGGGGUAUAGCUCAGUUGGUAGAGCGCCUGCUUUGCAAGCAGGAUGUCAGCGGUUCGAGUCCGCUUACCUCCACUGAAUACCACCUCUUACAUAUAGUUGAAGUGGGAAAUUGUUUUGAGUCGUGUCCUAAUUUGCUCUGAGCGAAUCUAGCUUCCUAUUUUAUCCAAGAAAUAAGAUGCUGGACUCAUUGAAUUUUUUUUCAUUGUUUUCAGAGAACCUUGACAACUGCAUAGAUUAUUUUUAAAGACAAUAAGCAUCUUUAAUGAUGCAGAUUUAUUAUUUGUGCGAAUGCAUUAAAUAACAAUUCUAUUAAGCUGAUGCUUCAAUUAUUGAAGUUAUUGGUCAAGCUACAAAGGGCUCACGGAGGAUACCUAGGCACACAGAGGCGAUGAA
This 715-nucleotide unclassified non-coding RNA is filed under the name uncultured cyanobacterium. RNAcentral describes it as "partial contains 16S ribosomal RNA, 16S-23S ribosomal RNA intergenic spacer, and 23S ribosomal RNA". The stretch from base 1 to 112 matches the Rfam family "Bacterial small subunit ribosomal RNA", at positions 1423 to 1533 of the family's 1533-position model. Lineage: Bacteria; Bacillati; Cyanobacteriota. The record is from RNAcentral.